UACGUAGGGUGCAAGCGUUAAUCGGAAUUACUGGGCGUAAAGCGUGCGCAGGCGGUUGUGUAAGUCAGAUGUGAAAUCCCCGGGCUCAACCUGGGAACUGCAUUUGUGACUGCACGGCUCGAGUGCGGCAGAGGGGGAUGGAAUUCCGCGUGUAGCAGUGAAAUGCGUAGAGAUGCGGAGGAACACCGAUGGCGAAGGCAGCCCCCUGGGCUAGCACUGACGCUCAGGCACGAAAGCGUGGGGAGCAAACAGG
Molecule: ribosomal RNA, 253 nt
Filed under: uncultured bacterium
Lineage: Bacteria
Description: partial 16S ribosomal RNA
Rfam family: Bacterial small subunit ribosomal RNA
Source: RNAcentral